AUGGCUCAGGACGAACGCUGGCGGCGUGCUUAACACAUGCAAGUCGAGCGAUGAAGCUCUUCGGAAGUGGAUUAGCGGCGGACGGGUGAGUAACACGUGGGUAACCUGCCUCGUAGAGGGGAAUAGCCUUCCGAAAGGAAGAUUAAUACCGCAUAAGAUUGUAAUAUCGCAUGAUAUAGCAAUUAAAGGAGUAAUCCGCUAUGAGAUGGACCCGCGUCGCAUUAGCUAGUUGGUGAGGUAACGGCUCACCAAGGCGACGAUGCGUAGCCGACCUGAGAGGGUGAUCGGCCACAUUGGGACUGAGACACGGCCCAGACUCCUACGGGAGGCAGCAGUGGGGAAUAUUGCACAAUGGGGGAAACCCUGAUGCCAGCAACGCCGCGUGAGUGAUGACGGUCUUCGGAUUGUAAAGCUCUGUCUUUAGGGACGAUAAUGACGGUACCUAAGGAGGAAGCCACGGCUAACUACGUGCCAGCCGCAGC
RNAcentral lists this ribosomal RNA (482 nucleotides) under uncultured bacterium. RNAcentral describes it as "bacterial SSU rRNA". It matches the Rfam family "Bacterial small subunit ribosomal RNA", at positions 19 to 518 of the family's 1533-position model. The record is from RNAcentral.